AUUGAACGCUGGCGGCAGGCUUAACACAUGCAAGUCGAGCGGGGGAAGGUAGCUUGCUACUGGACCUAGCGGCGGACGGGUGAGUAAUGCUUAGGAAUCUGCCUAUUAGUGGGGGACAACAUCUCGAAAGGGAUGCUAAUACCGCAUACGUCCUACGGGAGAAAGCAGGGGAUCUUCGGACCUUGCGCUAAUAGAUGAGCCUAAGUCGGAUUAGCUAGUUGGUGGGGUAAAGGCCUACCAAGGCGACGAUCUGUAGCGGGUCUGAGAGGAUGAGCCGCCACACUGGGACUGAGACACGGCCCAGACUCCUACGGGAGGCAGCAGUGGGGAAUAUUGGACAAUGGGGGGAACCCUGAUCCAGCCAUGCCGCGUGUGUGAAGAAGGCCUUAUGGUUGUAAAGCACUUUAAGCGAGGAGGAGGCUACUCUAGUUAAUACCUAGGGAUAGUGGACGUUACUCGCAGAAUAAGCACCGGCUAACUCUGUGCCAGCCGCCGCGGUAA
RNAcentral lists this ribosomal RNA (501 nucleotides) under uncultured bacterium. RNAcentral's name for it is "partial 16S ribosomal RNA". It matches the Rfam family "Bacterial small subunit ribosomal RNA", at positions 30 to 523 of the family's 1533-position model. The record is from RNAcentral.